RNAcentral lists this ribosomal RNA (393 nucleotides) under uncultured bacterium. Its description in RNAcentral is "bacterial SSU rRNA". It matches the Rfam family "Bacterial small subunit ribosomal RNA", at positions 28 to 412 of the family's 1533-position model. The record is from RNAcentral.
GAUGAACGCUGGCGGCGUGCCUAACACAUGCAAGUUGAGCGUGAAAUUUAUAUUGAUUCUUCGGAUGAUUUAUAAAUGGAAAGCAGCGGACGGGUGAGUAACGCGUGGAUAACCUGCCCUAUACUCCAGGAUAACAUACCGAAAGGUAUGCUAAUACUGGAUAAUAUACAUUAGUCGCAUGGCUUUUGUAUCAAAGAUUACGGUAUAGGAUGGAUCCGCGUUCCAUUAGCUAGUUGGUGGGUAAGGCUACCAAGGCGACGAUGGAUAGCCGACCUGAGAGGGUGAUCGGCCACACUGGAACUGAGACACGGUCCAGACUCCUACGGGAGGCAGCAGUGGGGAAUCUUAGACAAUGGGGCAACCCGAAUCUAGCCAUGCCGCGUGAACGAUGAA